CCUACGGGAGGCUGCAGUGGGGGAUAUUGCACAAUGGAGGAAACUCUGAUGCAGCGACGCCGCGUGGGGGAAGAAGGUCUUCGGAUUGUAAACCUCAGUAGUCAGGGAAGAAGCAAGUGACGGUACCUGAAGAGUAAGCUCCGGCUAACUACGUGCCAGCAGCCGCGGUAAUACGUAGGGAGCGAGCGUUGUCCGGAAUUACUGGGUGUAAAGGGUGCGUAGGCGGGUCAGCAAGUCAGGCGUGAAAUACCGGGGCUCAACUCCGGGGCUGCGCUUGAAACUGUUGGUCUUGAGUGAAGUAGAGGCAGGCGGAAUUCCUAGUGUAGCGGUGAAAUGCGUAGAUAUUAGGAGGAACACCAGUGGCGAAGGCGGCCUGCUGGGCUUUAACUGACGCUGAUGCACGAAAGCGUGGGGAGCAAACAGGAUUAGAUACCCCGGUAGUC
RNAcentral lists this ribosomal RNA (443 nucleotides) under uncultured Oscillospiraceae bacterium. RNAcentral's name for it is "bacterial SSU rRNA". It matches the Rfam family "Bacterial small subunit ribosomal RNA", at positions 338 to 795 of the family's 1533-position model. The record is from RNAcentral. Lineage: Bacteria; Bacillati; Bacillota; Clostridia; Eubacteriales; Oscillospiraceae.